UGUUUUUGUGCUACGUAACCAAAGAUGAUGGAAAAUAUUCUCUUCAUGUUUUUUUAAAGUGUUACAGGCACUCGUGUUUUUUCAAGUACUAUACUUUUUUCCUCACUCACAUUUAUUACUUCUCAAUAAACUAUUAACCUCACUAUUUUUCUUUUGCAAAUUUUUAUUACUCUAUUGAACUCCUAAAACUAUGUACCGGUCAAAGUGUACCACUUAAAAAUCAUGAAGGGAAUAAUAAUGUUGAUAAUAUUUGUUUUAUAGAAAAUACAAUAGUAAAAAAAAAAGGAAAUUUUGAAAAUAACCACCCAUAAAAGAGUCACUUUUAAAUUUAACCACCUAAAAAAAAGAAAUUCAAAAUAACCACCCAUUAAAUUAAAUUUUCAUACAGAUAACCACCCAUUUUGAAAAUCCGGUGGAAAUUUAAGACAUUGGGCCCACCCAAAGGCUAAUUACGGCUACUUUUCCCUUUGUAAUUGAAAUUGUUCACGAUUUUUUCAGAGUAAACACUUCCCCAAAAUUAAACCCACAAAUCUCCUUCAAUUUCUUCAAAAUUUGCAGCGAAAUCAAAUCCCCUAGUUGCAGACGAAUCCCCCAUACAUACAGCAGUUGUAAUCGCAGCAGAUGUUCAUGUAAGCGCUGUGCAAUGAUGGGUCUGAAUUAUUUGGAGAGAAAUACUGCUUGGAGGGUUUCCUAUAUGAAAAUAACACUUGCUCAUUGUAUUUUUCUUUUUUUAUAUAUAAAAAAAAAGUUGCAUUUAUUUCCGAGGGAGAACAUGGAUUAUUCACUUGAAUUAUUUAAAGUUCUAGAGGAAGCUUAAUGUUUGUACAAAGUAUGUUGCAAAUGUAAUGAAGGAGUUGGAGGGCCAGCGUAUAUGAUAUGGCUGCUUGAUACCCCGUAUUUCCUGCUUGCAUAUGUUCCAAGCAGGUUGAACUGUUGUACUUACUGAAUUCUGAAGUAUUAAUGGACUGAUGGUAUGUAAUUUUGUA
Chenopodium quinoa (quinoa) is the source of this 986-nucleotide long non-coding RNA. RefSeq lists it as uncharacterized. NCBI's taxonomy places the organism in Eukaryota, Viridiplantae, Streptophyta, Magnoliopsida, Caryophyllales, Amaranthaceae. The transcript is spliced from 2 exons. The record is from RefSeq and is a predicted model, not a curated record.